Molecule: ribosomal RNA, 441 nt
Filed under: uncultured bacterium
Lineage: Bacteria
Description: partial 16S ribosomal RNA
Rfam family: Bacterial small subunit ribosomal RNA
Source: RNAcentral
CCUACGGGUGGCAGCAGUGGGGAAUAUUGCACAAUGGGGGAAACCCUGAUGCAGCAACGCCGCGUGAGUGAGGAAGUAUUUCGGUAUGUAAAGCUCUAUCAGCAGGGAGUAGAAAAGAAGCUACCUGAAAUAGCAGCGCCGGCUAACUACGUGCCAGCAGCCGCGGUAAUACGUAGGGGGCAAGCGUUUUCCGGAUUUACUGGGUGUAAAGGGAGCGUAGACGGAAAGGAGAGGCAGAAGGGAAAGGCCAGGGCUCAACCAUGGGACUGCUGUUGAAACUGUCAGACUAGAGUAGGGGAGAGGUAAGCGGAAUGCGUAGUGUAGCGGUGAAAUGCGUAGAUAUUAGGAGGAACACCGGUGGCGAAGGCGUCAUACUGGACCGGAACUGACGUUGAGGCACGAAAGCGUGGGGAGCGAACAGGAUUAGAUACCCGAGUAGUC